AAACACCUGAGAGCUCUUAUUUACUGCUCUCUGAGAGGAGUGUAGAGAAUGGUAUUCCCAUUCACCACUAGGUGGUGCUGUGAGAGUACACGUCUCUCUCCAGUAGACAGUCAGGUACAUGUCUACCUGCCUAUUCCUCCCCUGGUGCUGUAUGGGUGUACUGUAAGGUGAGUAUGGUCAGGUAUGGUCAGGUGUAUCUAUCCUACCUGCAGUAUUCCUCCCCUGGUGCUGUCUGGUUGGUACUGUAAGGUGAGUAUGGUCAGGUAUGGUCAGGUGUAUCUAUCCUACCUGCAGUAUUCCUCCCCUGGUGCUGUCUGGUUGGUACUGUAAGGUGAGUAUGGUCAGGUAUGGUCAGGUGUAUCUAUCCUACCUGCAGUAUUCCUCCCCUGGUGCUGUCUGGUUGGUACUGUAAGGUGAGUAUGGUCAGGUAUGGUCAGGUGUAUCUAUCCUACCUGCAGUAUUCCUCCCCUGGUGCUGUCUGGUUGGUACUGUAAGGUGAGUAUGGUCAGGUAUGGUCAGGUGUAUCUAUCCUACCUGCAGUAUUCCUCCCCUGGUGCUGUCUGGUUGGUACUGUAAGGUGAGUAUGGUCAGGUAUGGUCAGGUGUAUCUAUCCUACCUGCAGUAUUCCUCCCCUGGUGCUGUCUGGUUGGUACUGUAAGGUGAGUAUGGUCAGGUGUAUCUAUCCUACCUGCAGUAUUCCUCCCCUGGUGCUGUCUGGUUGGUACUGUAAGGUGAGUAUGGUCAGGUAUGGUCAGGUGUAUCUAUCCUACCUGCAGUAUUCCUCCCCUGGUGCUGUCUGGUUGGUACUGUAAGGUGAGUAUGGUCAGGUAUGGUCAGGUGUAUCUAUCCUACCUGCAGUAUUCCUCCCCUGGUGCUGUCUGGUUGGUACUGUAAGGUGAGUAUGGUCAGGUAUGGUCAGGUGUAUCUAUCCUACCUGCAGUAUUCCUCCCCUGGUGCUGUCUGGUUGGUACUGUAAGGUGAGUAUGGUCAGGUAUGGUCAGGUGUAUCUAUCCUACCUGCAGUAUUCCUCCCCUGGUGCUGUCUGGUUGGUACUGUAAGGUGAGUAUGGUCAGGUAUGGUCAGGUGUAUCUAUCCUACCUGCAGUAUUCCUCCCCUGGUGCUGUCUGGUUGGUACUGUAAGGUGAGUAUGGUCAGGUAUGGUCAGGUGUAUCUAUCCUACCUGCAGUAUUCCUCCCCUGGUGCUGUCUGGUUGGUACUGUAAGGUGAGUAUGGUCAGGUAUGGUCAGGUGUAUCUAUCCUACCUGCAGUAUUCCUCCCCUGGUGCUGUCUGGUUGGUACUGUAAGGUGAGUAUGGUCAGGUAUGGUCAGGUGUAUCUAUCCUACCUGCAGUAUUCCUCCCCUGGUGCUGUCUGGUUGGUACUGUAAGGUGAGUAUGGUCAGGUAUGGUCAGGUGUAUCUAUCCUACCUGCAGUAUUCCUCCCCUGGUGCUGUCUGGUUGGUACUGUAAGGUGAGUAUGGUCAGGUAUGGUCAGGUGUAUCUAUCCUACCUGCAGUAUUCCUCCCCUGGUGCUGUCUGGUUGGUACUGUAAGGUGAGUAUGGUCAGGUAUGGUCAGGUGUAUCUAUCCUACCUGCAGUAUUCCUCCCCUGGUGCUGUCUGGUUGGUACUGUAAGGUGAGUAUGGUCAGGUAUGGUCAGGUGUAUCUAUCCUACCUGCAGUAUUCCUCCCCUGGUGCUGUCUGGUUGGUACUGUAAGGUGAGUAUGGUCAGGUAUGGUCAGGUGUAUCUAUCCUACCUGCAGUAUUCCUCCCCUGGUGCUGUCUGGUUGGUACUGUAAGGUGAGUAUGGUCAGGUAUGGUCAGGUGUAUCUAUCCUACCUGCAGUAUUCCUCCCCUGGUGCUGUCUGGUUGGUACUGUAAGGUGAGUAUGGUCAGGUAUGGUCAGGUGUAUCUAUCCUACCUGCAGUAUUCCUCCCCUGGUGCUGUCUGGUUGGUACUGUAAGGUGAGUAUGGUCAGGUAUGGUCAGGUGUAUCUA
This is a long non-coding RNA of Oncorhynchus keta (chum salmon), 1994 nucleotides long. RefSeq lists it as uncharacterized. The transcript has 4 exons. Lineage: Eukaryota; Metazoa; Chordata; Actinopteri; Salmoniformes; Salmonidae. The record is from RefSeq and is a predicted model, not a curated record.